RNAcentral lists this ribosomal RNA (470 nucleotides) under uncultured bacterium. Its description in RNAcentral is "bacterial SSU rRNA". It matches the Rfam family "Bacterial small subunit ribosomal RNA", at positions 329 to 792 of the family's 1533-position model. The record is from RNAcentral.
CACCAGACUCCUACGGGAGGCAGCAGUAGGGAAUCUUCCACAAUGGACGAAGGUCUGAUGGAGCAACGCCGCGUGAGUGAAGAAGGGUUUCGGCUCGUAAAGCUCUGGUGGUAGUGAAGAAAGAUAGAGGUAGUAACUGGCCUUUAUUUGACGGUAAUUACUUAGAAAGUCACGGCUAACUACGUGCCAGCAGCCGCGGUAAUACGGAGGAUGCGAGCGUUAUCCGGAUUUAUUGGGUUUAAAGGGUGCGUAGGCGGAAUGCCAAGUCGGCGGUAAAAUCGGGGGCCUCAACCUCGCUCCGCCGUUGAAACUGGCGUUCUUGAGUGGGCGAGAAGUAUGCGGAAUGCGUGGUGUAGCGGUGAAAUGCAUAGAUAUCACGCAGAACUCCGAUUGCGAAGGCAGCAUACCGGCGCCCAACUGACGCUGAAGCACGAAAGCGUGGGUAUCGAACAGGAUUAGAUACCCCAGUA